AUUGAACGCUGGCGGCAGGCCUAACACAUGCAAGUCGAGCGGAUGAAGGGAGCUUGCUCCUGGAUUCAGCGGCGGACGGGUGAGUAAUGCCUAGGAAUCUGCCUGGUAGUGGGGGAUAACGUCCGGAAACGGGCGCUAAUACCGCAUACGUCCUGAGGGAGAAAGUGGGGGAUCUUCGGACCUCACGCUAUCAGCUGAGCCUAGGUCGGAUUAGCUAGUUGGUGGGGUAAAGGCCUACCAAGGCGACGAUCCGUAACUGGUCUGAGAGGAUGAUCAGUCACACUGGAACUGAGACACGGUCCAGACUCCUACGGGAGGCAGCAGUGGGGAAUAUUGGACAAUGGGCGAAAGCCUGAUCCAGCCAUGCCGCGUGUGUGAUGAAGGUCUUCGGAUUGUAAAGCACUUUAAGUUGGGAGGAAGGGCAGUAAGUUAAUACCUUGCUGUUUUGACGUUACCAACAGAAUAAGCACCGGCUAACUUCGUG
RNAcentral lists this ribosomal RNA (484 nucleotides) under uncultured bacterium. RNAcentral's name for it is "partial 16S ribosomal RNA". It matches the Rfam family "Bacterial small subunit ribosomal RNA", at positions 30 to 507 of the family's 1533-position model. The record is from RNAcentral.